AUUAAGAAGCUAUGAACCAAGCGUUAGCCUUUUAAGCUAAAGAGAGAGGGCCCACCCCCCUCCUUAAUGA
Molecule: transfer RNA, 70 nt
Filed under: Peucedramus taeniatus (olive warbler)
Lineage: Eukaryota; Metazoa; Chordata; Aves; Passeriformes; Fringillidae
Description: tRNA-Lys
Source: RNAcentral